This 485-nucleotide ribosomal RNA is filed under the name uncultured bacterium. Its description in RNAcentral is "partial 16S ribosomal RNA". It matches the Rfam family "Bacterial small subunit ribosomal RNA", at positions 28 to 507 of the family's 1533-position model. The record is from RNAcentral.
GAUGAACGCUAGCGACAGGCUUAACACAUGCAAGUCGAGGGGCAGCACAGGUAGCAAUACCGGGUGGCGACCGGCGCACGGGUGAGUAACGCGUAUGCAACUUACCUAUCAGAGGGGGAUAACCCGGCGAAAGUCGGACUAAUACCGCAUGAAGCAGGGGUCCCGCAUGGGGAUAUUUGCUAAAGAUUCAUCGCUGAUAGAUAGGCAUGCGUUCCAUUAGGCAGUUGGCGGGGUAAUGGCCCACCAAACCGACGAUGGAUAGGGGUUCUGAGAGGAAGGUCCCCCACAUUGGUACUGAGACACGGACCAAACUCCUACGGGAGGCAGCAGUGAGGAAUAUUGAUCAAUGGCCGAGAGGCUGAACCAGCCAAGUCGCGUGAGGGAUGAAGGUUCUAUGGAUCGUAAACCUCUUUUAUAAGGGAAUAAAGUGCGGGACGUGUCCCGUUUUGUAUGUACCUUAUGAAUAAGGAUCGGCUAACUCCGUG